Molecule: ribosomal RNA, 585 nt
Filed under: uncultured bacterium
Lineage: Bacteria
Description: partial 16S ribosomal RNA
Rfam family: Bacterial small subunit ribosomal RNA
Source: RNAcentral
UGGGGAAUUUUGGACAAUGGGCGAAAGCCUGAUCCAGCAAUGCCGCGUGUGUGAAGAAGGCCUUCGGGUUGUAAAGCACUUUUGUCCGGAAAGAAGUCCUUGGCUCUAAUACAGUCGGGGGAUGACGGUACCGGAAGAAUAAGCACCGGCUAACUACGUGCCAGCAGCCGCGGUAAUACGUAGGGUGCAAGCGUUAAUCGGAAUUACUGGGCGUAAAGCGUGCGCAGGCGGUUUGCUAAGACCGAUGUGAAAUCCCCGGGCUCAACCUGGGAACUGCAUUGGUGACUGGCAGGCUAGAGUAUGGCAGAGGGGGGUAGAAUUCCACGUGUAGCAGUGAAAUGCGUAGAGAUGUGGAGGAAUACCGAUGGCGAAGGCAGCCCCCUGGGCCAAUACUGACGCUCAUGCACGAAAGCGUGGGGAGCAAACAGGAUUAGAUACCCUGGUAGUCCACGCCCUAAACGAUGUCAACUAGUUGUUGGGGAUUCAUUUCCUUAGUAACGUAGCUAACGCGUGAAGUUGACCGCCUGGGGAGUACGGUCGCAAGAUUAAAACUUAAAGGAAUUGACGGGGUCAUAGCUGUUUCCU